Long non-coding RNA from Urocitellus parryii (Arctic ground squirrel), 519 nucleotides. RefSeq lists it as uncharacterized. The record is from RefSeq and is a predicted model, not a curated record. NCBI's taxonomy places the organism in Eukaryota, Metazoa, Chordata, Mammalia, Rodentia, Sciuridae.
UCCAAAGUCUUUGUGACUCCAUUUUGAACACCACCUGAUUUUUUUUCAACAAUUCAAAUUGCUCAGCUUUUACGACCAACUGCAUGCACUAUUGUAAUUUCUGUACAGAUUUCAUCAUCUUUGUCUUUUUUGGACUUUGCUUUUUACCACAUUUUUAGAACUAUGGUGAGUUUCUUGCAGCAACUUCAAGUUAAACAACUUUUCACAAAUUUAUCAAAGCCUGACUGCUCCUCUGGGAGUGUGGAUGGAUGGAGCCACUUUUGCUGCCUGCUGGAUGGCCUCCUGCUCAGCCAAGUGUUUUUACCCCAUGGAAUCCAGAGUGGAAGAAGAGCCUCAACAAAGAAAUGUAAAACAAAACAAAACAAAACAAAACAAAACAACCCUAAAAUGAAAAGCUCCAGGGAAGAGUUCAUUGUGAUGAGCGCUUAGGACAACAAAGAGAAGCCCAUGGGGAAUAGGACUUAAGUCCUCGUCAGGAUCCUGAAAAGCUGCCCUGUAACUCCCCAGCUGUAUGACUUC